ACUGGCAGCCAUAUCACCCUGUAGCCCAAGACUGGUUGCCCACUGAAGCUAAGCAGGGCUGAGCCUGGUCAGUACCUGGAUGGGAGACCUCCUGGGAAAAUUAGGUUGCUGCUGGAA
Molecule: ribosomal RNA, 117 nt
Filed under: Sinocyclocheilus rhinocerous
Lineage: Eukaryota; Metazoa; Chordata; Actinopteri; Cypriniformes; Cyprinidae
Source: RNAcentral